Molecule: long non-coding RNA, 415 nt
Organism: Ornithorhynchus anatinus (platypus)
Lineage: Eukaryota; Metazoa; Chordata; Mammalia; Monotremata; Ornithorhynchidae
Exons: 2
Source: RefSeq, a predicted model, not a curated record
AUAGAUGUGCUUUCCAGUGACAUUCCAGUGAUCAAAUGUGGCUGUUAACUGCAUAGUCUUGGCAUCAGGCAUAACUGAGGCAGACUUCUUGUACUCGGUAAUAGAAAAACAAAACUCCAACUAAAACUGGCCAAAUAAAAAUGCUGUGAACCUCACAUGAGACAAGAUCUGAAUCUUACUGAUUAUAUCUAUCGUGAUCUUUGGCCCACAGUGAACCUAUAACAAUUAUUCUUAUUCUUAUCAUCAUCAUCUACUUUGACAUUAGUCCAGGAAUAUAGAUCUCUGCCACUUUGAAAAAUGCAAGUUUAGUCUCUGAUAUCUGAAUCUUUCAGGGGAAAAUUGGGGUUGUUCGACUGAUUAUUUGAAUAAUGUCAAUGAUCCAGAUAAGGCAGUAAAUGUUUUUAUCCACUCUCCA